AACAAGCGCUAGGGGAGCAACUGCUGAGAUUGACCUAUGGUCUAACCCUCAAUACCUGAUCCGGAUAAUGCCGGCGAAGGGAAGCCGAAAAUACACAGC
This is a regulatory RNA element of Firmicutes bacterium CAG:194, 99 nucleotides long. It matches the Rfam family "TPP riboswitch aptamer (THI element)". Rfam says of the family: Vitamin B(1) in its active form thiamin pyrophosphate (TPP) is an essential coenzyme that is synthesised by coupling of pyrimidine and thiazole moieties in bacteria. The record is from Rfam. Lineage: Bacteria; Bacillati; Bacillota.